This 87-nucleotide transfer RNA is filed under the name Acetobacter sp. Its description in RNAcentral is "tRNA-Leu". It matches the Rfam family "tRNA". Rfam says of the family: Transfer RNA (tRNA) molecules are approximately 80 nucleotides in length. Their secondary structure includes four short double-helical elements and three loops (D, anti-codon, and T loops). The record is from RNAcentral. RNAcentral also lists the same sequence under 8 other names. Lineage: Bacteria; Pseudomonadati; Pseudomonadota; Alphaproteobacteria; Acetobacterales; Acetobacteraceae.
GCCCAGAUGGCGGAAUUGGUAGACGCGCAGGUUUCAGGUAUCUGUGGCCGCAAGGUCGUGGAAGUUCGAGUCUUCUUCUGGGCACCA